GACGAACGCUGGCGGCGUGCCUAAUACAUGCAAGUUGAGCGCUGAAGGUUGGUACUUGUACCAACUGGAUGAGCAGCGAACGGGUGAGUAACGCGUGGGGAAUCUGCCUUUGAGCGGGGGACAACAUUUGGAAACGAAUGCUAAUACCGCAUAAAAACUUUAAACACAAGUUUUAAGUUUGAAAGAUGCAAUUGCAUCACUCAAAGAAGAUCCCGCGUUGUAUUAGCUAGUUGGUGAGGUAAAGGCUCACCAAGGCGAUGAUACAUAGCCGACCUGAGAGGGUGAUCGGCCACAUUGGGACUGAGACACGGCCCAAACUCCUACGGGAGGCAGCAGUAGGGAAUCUUCGGCAAUGGACGAAAGUCUGACCGAGCAACGCCGCGUGAGUGAAGAAGGUUGUCGGAUCGUAAAACUCUGUUGGUAGAGAAGAACGUUGGUGAGAGUGGAAAGCUCAUCAAGUGACGGUAACUACCCAGAAAGGGACGGCUAACUACGUG
This 497-nucleotide ribosomal RNA is filed under the name uncultured bacterium. RNAcentral's name for it is "partial 16S ribosomal RNA". It matches the Rfam family "Bacterial small subunit ribosomal RNA", at positions 28 to 507 of the family's 1533-position model. The record is from RNAcentral.